AUGAAACUCUAGUAUUUAUAGGCUAAUAUUGGUAGCUUAGUGGGCUUUUGAGAGAGGUCCAAGUCUGAGAUUUUUUUAUUUAUUUAUUUAUUUAAUCAUUUUUUAUUUUUUAUUUUUCGUUUUUUUUCAUUUUUUUUUUUAAAUAAAGUUUCUUGGAUCUGAUUGACAUGAUGAAAUGCAAUAUGAAAUGUUAAAUGACCUAAAAAUGAAUGCAUGAAUGAGGAGGGCAAAUUUUGGGGUGUUACAGCUGCCCCUAUUCAGUCAUCAACUAACCCGAGCAGGAUGAAAGCGAACAGCUUAUCA
RNAcentral lists this long non-coding RNA (303 nucleotides) under Lathyrus oleraceus (garden pea). RNAcentral's name for it is "Pisum sativum (pea) long non-coding RNA (PSAT_LNC003313)". Lineage: Eukaryota; Viridiplantae; Streptophyta; Magnoliopsida; Fabales; Fabaceae. The record is from RNAcentral.